Non-coding RNA from Bombyx mori (domestic silkworm), 74 nucleotides. Lineage: Eukaryota; Metazoa; Arthropoda; Insecta; Lepidoptera; Bombycidae. The record is from RefSeq and is marked provisional.
UCAUUUCUUCAGGUUAUGCAGGCGAAGGAAUAUCAGCUAGCGUACUCUCUCGCCUUCAUGACCUGGUGAAUUGU